This 249-nucleotide unclassified non-coding RNA is filed under the name Glomus sp. RNAcentral describes it as "partial contains 5.8S ribosomal RNA and internal transcribed spacer 2". The stretch from base 1 to 65 matches the Rfam family "5.8S ribosomal RNA", at positions 84 to 154 of the family's 154-position model. The record is from RNAcentral. Lineage: Eukaryota; Fungi; Glomeromycota; Glomeromycetes; Glomerales; Glomeraceae.
GUGAAUCAUCGAAUUUUUGAACGCAAAUUGCACUCUCCUCGGAGAGUAUGCCUGUUUGAGGGUCAGCCUAUAAAAAAUCGACAUCGUAGAUGAUUCGCGGUGGCGUUCGUCGGAACUUGGGUCAUCUUAAACCUUUUGGUUUUAAGCGCCUUAAAAUUUUCUUUUUGGUUCCAUGAACGCUUCUAAGAUUUAUUUCUUUACACGUGUCAGGUAUCGAUUUUUAUUAGACGUGACCAUCAAAGCGGAUCG